CAUAGUCUGAUCACUGCUUUCUGUAG
RNAcentral lists this non-coding RNA (26 nucleotides) under Cricetulus griseus (Chinese hamster). Lineage: Eukaryota; Metazoa; Chordata; Mammalia; Rodentia; Cricetidae. The record is from RNAcentral.